GCUCCUGCGUUGUGUGUAAUCCUGGCUAGGUAGUAGGAGGCUGAGGCGAGCUGGCGGAGUUCAGGGCUGCACCCUGCUAUGCUGAGCAGGUGUCUGUGCUAAGGUUGGCGUUAAGAUGGUGAUUCUGGGAAGUUCGGGGUCCCCAGAUUCCCUAAGGAGGGGUGAAGGAGGCCCCCCCCGGAGCAAGUUAAAACUCCCGCGGGGAUUGAUAGGGGGAUUGCUGCACCCGUGAACAGCUGCUGGAGCACCCCUGGGCAAGACAGCGAGAGCCCGUCUCUU
RNAcentral lists this signal recognition particle RNA (279 nucleotides) under Chelonia mydas (Green sea turtle). RNAcentral's name for it is "Metazoan signal recognition particle RNA". It matches the Rfam family "Metazoan signal recognition particle RNA". Rfam says of the family: The signal recognition particle (SRP) is a universally conserved ribonucleoprotein. The record is from Rfam by way of RNAcentral. Lineage: Eukaryota; Metazoa; Chordata; Testudines; Cheloniidae.